AUACGGAGGGAGCUAGCGUUGUUCGGAUUUACUGGGCGUAAAGCGCACGUAGGCGGAUUGACAAGUUAGGGGUGAAAUCCCGAGGCUCAACCUCGGAACUGCCUCUAAAACUGUCAAUCUCGAGACCGGAAGAGGUGAGUGGAACUCCUAGUGUAGAGGUGGAAUUCGUAGAUAUUAGGAAGAACACCAGUGGCGAAGGCGGCUCACUGGUCCGGUACUGACGCUGAGGUGCGAAAGCGUGGGGAGCAAACAGGAUUAGAAACCCUAGUAGUCC
RNAcentral lists this ribosomal RNA (274 nucleotides) under uncultured bacterium. Its description in RNAcentral is "partial 16S ribosomal RNA". It matches the Rfam family "Bacterial small subunit ribosomal RNA", at positions 523 to 796 of the family's 1533-position model. The record is from RNAcentral.